AACGUACGCUGGCGGCACGCCUAACACAUGCAAGUCGAACGCAGUAGCAAUACUGAGUGGCGAACGGGUGAGUAUAAUGUGGGUAUCUGCCUUUUGGUGAGGAAUAACACGAGGAAACUUGUGCUAAUACUUCAUAAGCCUUUACAGGGAAAGUUUUAUACGCCAAAAGAUGAGCCCGCACUUGAUUAGCUAGUUGGUAAGGUAAUAGCUUACCAAGG
This 218-nucleotide ribosomal RNA is filed under the name uncultured Candidatus Pelagibacter sp. Its description in RNAcentral is "partial 16S ribosomal RNA". It matches the Rfam family "Bacterial small subunit ribosomal RNA", at positions 29 to 273 of the family's 1533-position model. Lineage: Bacteria; Pseudomonadati; Pseudomonadota; Alphaproteobacteria; Candidatus Pelagibacterales; Candidatus Pelagibacteraceae. The record is from RNAcentral.